Molecule: non-coding RNA, 3072 nt
Organism: Camellia sinensis
Lineage: Eukaryota; Viridiplantae; Streptophyta; Magnoliopsida; Ericales; Theaceae
Source: RefSeq, a predicted model, not a curated record
UACUAGAAUUAUGAUUUUUUGCGUCUAUUUUUUUGCGACUGAUUAAUUAACCGUCGCAAAAAAUCAUUUUUGACAUCAAAAUUUCAUUUUACAAUCUCAUUUUCGUCACCCAAUCGUGUCCUUAACUUAAAAAAAAAAAAACCCCCAAAUUCUCUCCCUCUCAAUCCCUUCUUUUUUUUUUUCUUCUUGUUUUCCAAAUCUGAACUCUCUCUCUCUCAUUCUCAAAAUCUGUCUCGCUCGAAUCUCACUGCCUCUCUAGCUCGAAUCUCUCGCUCGAAUCUCACUGGCUCUCUCGCUCGAAUCUGUUCGAUCGAUUCAACUCUCUCAAGUCUACAACUGUUGAAGAUUUCAUAAUCGGUAAGCCUAAACACAUCUUCAUCGAUUCAACUCUCUCUGUAACGAUCCGAGUUAUGUACUUCUCUGUAAUGGAAUCUGUCUCAAGAAGAAUCUGUAACAGCACUUUACACGGAGCUAUGACGCGCUUGUGCUGGUCCGCUCGUGACAGUGCCUCGUGAAGGCGAACGCGUGUUCUAUUUUCCUCAAGGACAUAUUGAGCAGGUUAGUUUCCAACUCUAGGCAAUCAUAUUCGGAGUUCUUUGUUUCUUUUAGAGGUUAGAUUCAUUUGGAUUUCUCAUAAUGCUCUAUAAUUUUAUCAAUUUUGUCUCUCUUGGUUGUGCAUCUCCAAUUGUUCAUCAAUUUGUUCAUCAGAUUCAAAUUUGAUAAAAAAAAAUGGCUCCAAAAUGUUUGAUUAUCGAUGAAGAAUUACGCUUGAUUAUCUUCAGUCAUCAAAAUGAUAGUACUCCAAUUUUUCCAUCAUACAAUGAUUUUAGGAAUUUCUAAAUUUUUAUUUUAUUAUUUUGUGAUCUAGAACUAGCUGAUUAUCAUUGAUAUGAUCCACAAUAUAACCCUGACCUUGUGACCCAAACAACUGAUGAUGUACAUGAUGAUGACUUGUAGAUCAAUUGACAUUACUUUUAAUAUUAUCAUAAGAAAGGUUGACAUUACUUUUAAUGCCAAGGGAAGCCAGUCCAGAUGCCCCAAUCACUGCCUCUAGGUUAGUUAUAGAGUUAUAAGUUAUAGAGUUCGGUGUUGUUUGGUCCAAUUUAUUAGAGUUGUUUAUAGUUUUUUUAUUUUGAGAAAUUUGUGCCAAAGUAUUUUUUAUAGUUUCAGUUUGUAAUUUAUGAGGCAGAAAUAGCUUAGGUAAAAUUAUAAAUAAAUAGAAAAAUUAAUUAUUUGAAAGCAGUGAGAGAAGUGUUUUUAACUUUUUACUUUUUACUUUUCUGUUUUCAACUUUCAGUUUAAGGAAAGUUAUACAAAAUAGCCUCUUCAAGCUUAUAGGUUGUUGACACUGCGGUUUUGGAGCAUGAUUGUAGUGCAUGUUUGUGUUCUGUUUUUUACUAAUGAGGUUGUCCAAACAAGGCGGAAUUGGGCUAUAACGUUGUCUUGACCUAGACAACAAGAGUUGAUUAGGUUCACUCUACUCAUCCUCAGACAUUUAAAAAAAAAAAAAACUCUACAAAAGUUUCUUGUGGAGGGCACAAAAUGAUUCCAAGUGUUGAACCGUACUGAGACUUUUUUUCCCUCCAAGGCUGAAGUUCAUCGACAUCCUCAUUGAGUUAUUAGAAUGGUUAAAAUUCACCCUCUUUCUUUGAAAAACAACAGCAAAUUCAAAUUUAAAAGUGUAAUAAUGGAACACCAAUUCAAAUGAUUUCCAAAAGAGUUGCCAUGAGGAGGCUGCUAUUUGGCAUGUCAAAAGCCAUGACCGCUCCUUGAAUUGACGGGUCCCAGCUAUAUAGUGCCCUCGCAAUGCCAUUCAUAUUUGAAUGUUGAGGUGGUUGUGCAACCGUGGCAGAGUGGUCUGAUGAGGGAGGCAAUCUUUUAUCGUCCGGCGAAGGAGAUUUAGUGUCUGUGACAUUAGACGUGGUGAUGUCAUGGAUGCUAGACCUCCUCUUAUCCUUCUCUCCAGAAAGCUUCCUGAUAAAGUACUUCUGAGCAUGACUCACAACAAGUUUCAAAAGAAAAUGAAUAGGCGAGAAAGAAUUUGUCUACGAAAGUUGCACACCUUUGUCAUCUUCUUCAGGCUCCAUUGAGGGUUCUUUCACAUUUGUCUCUGGAAGUGUAUAGCGAUGGAGUGUGGAUCGCCUUUCAGGAUUUUGUUCAUCAUUCAUCAUGUAUCACUAAGUGAUCAUGACUUGUGUGGUUUCACUACUAGAAAUAGAAUGCUGGUGUUUGUUCCUCUACAUCCACUGGUCAAGCACUGGGUUGCUGUUCUUAGAAAUGAGCAGACUCCUUGCCCCAUCUUUAAUUGUUCCUAUCUUGAGAGCUGGUCUUGCUCUAGCAGAACAUGCAUCAUCAACUGAUAUGGUAAACUGGGAUCACUGGUGGAGCCUGAAGUUACUCUCAAGGUAAUUGAAACUCUUGUUGCAAAUCACUGAUCUGCUAUAGAGAGAGGUCACUAUGACAUAGUUUUAUUUUGAUUAUUUCAAGCUAAACUAACACAUUGAAGUGCAUUAAAUUUUCAGAUCAAGUUUGAUAUAUGUUUUUGCAGAUUUUGUUGAGGGAAUAGUUGAUAUGAUCGAGCCGUUGAUGUUGGGAGCCAAAGAUUAUGUUUUUUUUUUUUUUUUUUUUUUUGACGGUUUGAAUUUUUUAGUACAGUGCAUUUAAGGAUGGUUAAUGGAUAAUGUCUAUUAUAAAUUUAAUUAAUUUGUUAAUUUUGUUAUUUUUCAUUUACAAAAAAUUGUUUGGUGCUUAUAAUUGAUUUUUUUGGUUGUAGCAAACUCAUAUAUGAUUUUUUUUUAAUAAAUAAUUAUUUGCGACAGUAAAAUAAUGGUCGCUAAAAGUGUUUUUAAUUUUUUAUUUUUUUUUUGCGACGGCAAAAUAGUUGUCGCAAAAAGUAGUUUAGGCGGUCGCAAAUAAUUUGCGACCGUUGUUUUGCCGUCGCAAAAAGUAUUUGCCACCCCCACAUUUGCGUCCCCCAUUUGCGGUCGCAUAGGCCGUCGCAAAAAGUCUUUUGCGACUGUAUUUUUAUUAUUUGCGACGGCAUGUGACGGUCGCAAAAAGUAUUUUUUUUAG